AGUUUCCCCUCGGCCGUCCCCGUCUUCGCGCGUCCCCUCGACCCGCUCCGCCCCCGACUGGUACCGCGCCUUUAGUGUCCCCCCUGCUUCGACUCACCCAGGAAGAUGCUUUCUUGAAAUAAAAGGUUCUAUAAACAGAAAUAAAAGAGGAAGAGAGAAUGGACGAAGUGCCGAUAAAGUAAA
Molecule: long non-coding RNA, 183 nt
Organism: Penaeus monodon (black tiger shrimp)
Lineage: Eukaryota; Metazoa; Arthropoda; Malacostraca; Decapoda; Penaeidae
Exons: 2
Source: RefSeq, a predicted model, not a curated record